RNAcentral lists this ribosomal RNA (421 nucleotides) under uncultured Glomeromycotina. Its description in RNAcentral is "SSU rRNA". It matches the Rfam family "Eukaryotic small subunit ribosomal RNA", at positions 673 to 1092 of the family's 1831-position model. Lineage: Eukaryota; Fungi; Glomeromycota. The record is from RNAcentral.
GUACGUACUGGCAUUGUUGGUUUCUCCCUUCUGACGAACCAUGAUGUCAUUUAUUUGGUGUUGUGGGGAAUCAGGACUGUUACUUUGAAAAAAUUAGAGUGUUUAAAGCAGGCUCACGCUUGAAUACAUUAGCAUGGAAUAAUGAAAUAGGACGUUUGAUUCUAUUUUGUUGGUUUCUAGGAUCGACGUAAUGAUUAAUAGGGAUAGUUGGGGGCAUUAGUAUUCAAUUGUCAGAGGUGAAAUUCUUGGAUUUAUUGAAGACUAACUACUGCGAAAGCAUUUGCCAAGGAUGUUUUCAUUAAUCAAGAACGAAAGUUAGGGGAUCGAAGACGAUCAGAUACCGUCGUAGUCUUAACCAUAAACUAUGCCGACUAGGGAUCGGACGCAGUUAAUUUUAUAAUGACGUGUUCGGCACCUUACG